GAAUUUGAGGGUGACCUGGCCGUGACAAGCCACCCCACUGAUCACCAGUGUUUUUUUCACCUGAUCUUACUGGCUUCCUGGGUAUCCCUUUCUCCUCCACAGUUCAGUGUUUGUCCUUCCUGAAGCAGAAUGCUCGGUCAAAAAGGACACCUUUUUCCCCUCUUAAUAUUAAAGGCCUUUUCAUGUCGAUUUCUGUUUAGGUAAGUUUCAGAAUAUUAGUUUAUGGCAUUUAAAAUCAAUCAUAGGAAUAAGAAAUCCUCUUCUUU
RNAcentral lists this small nuclear RNA (266 nucleotides) under Octodon degus (degu). RNAcentral describes it as "7SK RNA (ENSODEG00000023135.1)". It matches the Rfam family "7SK RNA", at positions 1 to 282 of the family's 331-position model. From Rfam's summary of the family: 7SK was discovered as an abundant small nuclear RNA in the mid-70s but a possible function has only recently been suggested. The record is from RNAcentral. Lineage: Eukaryota; Metazoa; Chordata; Mammalia; Rodentia; Octodontidae.